UGCAGACUUACCCCACAUCCCUGUGGUCUGUGGAAGCUUUAUUACUGAAUUCAAUCACAGGAAUCUCGGCUGCAGCAAAGGAAUUGUAGUAACCCAGUCAGCUGAGGAUUGCAGUGAAUGAGACCAGCAAAGGUCUGAGCUUCAAUUCUGUAAGAUCUUGGAAGAUGUGGCUUCUUAUUCACAGAUUAAAAAUCAGUGGCAGCAGCAUAGGAUUUUUCACUUAGAAUUCACCUGUGGGAAACAAACAUUCUUCUGAUGUCAGUGUCAGUUUGAGGCUGAAGAAUAA
This 286-nucleotide long non-coding RNA is filed under the name Phasianus colchicus (ring-necked pheasant). RNAcentral describes it as "lncRNA (ENSPCLG00000003760.1)". The record is from RNAcentral. Lineage: Eukaryota; Metazoa; Chordata; Aves; Galliformes; Phasianidae.